This 59-nucleotide transfer RNA is filed under the name Klebsiella pneumoniae. RNAcentral describes it as "tRNA-Val". It matches the Rfam family "tRNA", at positions 8 to 63 of the family's 71-position model. From Rfam's summary of the family: Transfer RNA (tRNA) molecules are approximately 80 nucleotides in length. Their secondary structure includes four short double-helical elements and three loops (D, anti-codon, and T loops). The record is from RNAcentral. Lineage: Bacteria; Pseudomonadati; Pseudomonadota; Gammaproteobacteria; Enterobacterales; Enterobacteriaceae.
UAGCUCAGUUGGUUAGAGCACCACCUUGACAUGGUGUGGGUCGUUGGUUCGAGUCCAAU